This 7005-nucleotide long non-coding RNA is filed under the name Medicago truncatula (barrel medic). RNAcentral's name for it is "long non-coding RNA (MTRU_LNC006126)". The record is from RNAcentral. Lineage: Eukaryota; Viridiplantae; Streptophyta; Magnoliopsida; Fabales; Fabaceae.
AAAAAAUAAGAUAUAUUAACGCAAAGGUGAAUCACCGCGCACAAGAUGUGCAACGAGAGAAACACAGCAAAAUAGUUACAAAGUCAACGGUGCCGAAUAAGCAAGCACCGCCAAAUAAAAGAAAAAGAGAUGAAAUCGUUAAACUACGCCACCCAUGCAUAAAACAAUAAACUUUAAUUAAUUUCCAGUUCUUUAUUAAAUUGUUGUUGGAUAUACACAUAAAAAUAUUGAAGUGGGUUAUAUUUAUGAAGGAAUAAUGGUAAUCUGUAAUGCUGAAUAAAUUAAUAUCGCACCGGUUGUCAUUUGAUUUUGUGUUAUUACAAAAUAUUGUCUCUACCAAUUGAUCUAAGCUCCCAAAGUGAAAAAUUAAAGUUAUUUCAAUAAAUUUAAGGUUUGAUGUGUGUAUAUCACAAUCUAUUUAUUUAUUUAUUUAUUUAUUUAUUUCUUCCUGAUUUUUAUCAUUUACUUGACUCAUUGAUUUAUAUGAUGCCCCAAAUAUAUGAUUUAAUAUGCUUUGUAUUGACUAGAAACUAGAUAUUAAUAGUUAAACAUGAAACUGAAGAUAAUGAAAUGCGUUAGGGCCAAUGUUUUUAAAACCGAACCGGAGAUCAAACUGGUGAUAGCCCCGAUUCAUGGUUUAACCGGUUCAACUGCUAUUGAACCGUAUAAUAAAUACAUAACAUAAAUUAUAAAAUUUAUAAUUAACACUGUAAAAUUUAACAAGAUCACAAACUAAUUUUUUCACUAAGCCCAGCAGUGGACUAGCAAAAUGAAGCUCACGUUAAAAAUUAGCCCAAUCAAUAUUCGUUAUUGUUGAUAGAAACCUAAACCAAAAUUUACCAGCGCCGUUUCUAUGUUUUCCUUUUCCAGACUUUCUCUCUCCAUCAUCUCAGUUCACGUUCUACAUCUUUUUUUUCUUCCUCUACUCAUCAGUUCAAUCUGCUUCAAUCUAUCUCUUCUUCAUCUCAUUUGCUUCACAUCCUCUCAUUUUCUUAAUCAUUUAUUUGUUGAUUUGAACUUUUUUUUUUUUUUUGGUUUUAACUGUUGAUUUGAACAGAUUCGAACAACCUUGAACUAAAUAUUGAGAUUUUUUGUUUGAAAAAAAAAACUUGAGAUCGUCCGAUUUUAUCNCACCAAGGCAAUAAUCUAUAUCAAAGUUUAUCCAAGUGCAAUAUUAAUACCUCCCAUAAAUGUUUUCACUACUUCAUUCAUUCGAGAUUGUAUAGAAAUAAUAAUGAUUUAUUUGUAGAGAUUAAAUACUAUGAACUUAGGUGCGAUAUUCGACCUUAUCAACACAUAAAUAGGGCAAACAGCCACAGACUUUAAUUUGAAUAAAAAAUCAUCACAAAAAUUUGCAGUAGGUACCUUUGAAGCUUAAGUCUUCCAUAAAUGUUAUGGGAUCAACAACAAUAAUGAAAGUGAGCAUACCUUUAUUGAUGGCAAUCUAAUUAAUGGAAUUAACGAGCAACACUAUAACUUGCGAGCUUCAUUGUGACUUGUGAGGCUUGUGCUGACGCCUGUUCACGGAGACAGUAGGUACCGGUGAAACCUAUUAAGUGUCGAUUCUCCUUCGAUUGAAGGAAUUUUCACAAGCCUUCUUUCAUUAUUGUAGCGAUUUUGACUUUGCCUUGUAUAGCUUCAGAAGUGGUCUCUUUUUGUGAGAAUGAGAUGAGGUGCAGGUAUGGUGGCGACGAAACAACUUCUUAUCGUCGGCGAGGUUGUUGCCUUGCUUCCGAAUUGAUUUUCAUCCAACGGCGUCGUGAUCGGAGUAUUCGGUCAUCGUGGUGGUUGGGAAUGAUGAAGUUAGGUUCCUAAAUCCAAGAGGUGUGAUUUAGGGUUUUGAUGUGGAAAGGUUAUUCGGAUCGCAGUUUAGUGGUUACGAUUAAGAUUUCUAUGGCUUUAGGGUUUCUAAAUUGCGGAUUACGAUUCAAAAGAGUGGUCUAGGUUAGUUUUACCUUUUCCCACAGACGGCGCCAACUAUACUUGAAAAAAGCACAAUAAGGGAUAUUAGGGUUAAGUAUCGUAUUCUAGGGUUUAGAUUGAUAAUUGGAUGCCUUGAGAAUGAUCUCAAGAGUAGUAUUUAUAGCCUGCUAUGAGGUUGGGUUUCGGUUGCUUUGCUCUCAAGCAACAGGGGUAUUUUUGUAUUUUAGGCGGUUUCUGGAAGCUAAGGACCUCAAUAUCCCUUCUCGAGGGCGUCUGAGCCCUUCUAGAGGGCGUCUAAGCCCUUCUAGAGGGAUUCUAAGCCUUUAGGAAUAUUAUGACGGUUUACAACCAAUUAUUGAAUCCUUGUUUGCAAAGGACUUCCCAUUAAGCUGAAGUUUACUAAGCCUUAAGUUUGUCUGGAUAAAUAAUUCAAUAUGAAUAGUGAUUUUUAUGGCCAGCAACCCGUUAUCGGUCAAUGGCUUCUGACUCUGUCAACGUCAUUUGGUUUGGUUCUUAUCGGUCCAAGGAACCGCGACUCCAAAAAUGGCUUCUGGUUUUUCCCAUACACAUAAAUCAGCCUCUAUGAAUCAUCUUGAACAACUUCCAAACAUGAUAUUUCCUAUAAAUACUAACAUGCUAUCUCCUAAGACUGUUGAGCAUCCCAUGUCUAAGGCUUGAAUUAGUGUCCCUUCUUCCGGUAGGAUAUCACCAUGAAGUGUUGAACAAAUCUCCACAAUGAGCCGUCAAAUGUCUGUGCCUUUGCUCAGCCUGAGAAACAACAUCAACAACUUGGAGUAUUAAUUUUAGGGACUUUGGUUCCAACAUUUCUGCCUCAGUUGUUGAAUCCGCUACAAAUCCACGGUCUAUGUGGAAAUCUCUUAAUUGCAUGGCUGAUUGGUCGGUUAAUGGAGACGAAUAAGCCACGAAAUAUGCGCGAUGCAUCCACUUUUCAACAUUAAAUCAUUGCUAGGCAAGGCUGGGAAGGAAGAGAAGUAUCUUAUUGAGAUAGAUAUUUAAAUUUUUCAUCUACAUAUUCUUUUGGUAAAUUUUUUCGGAAGUAGACAACAAGGAAGAGAAGUAGUGAAGGAAGUAAUGCUGGCAAGGCUGGCUAUGAGUGCAUGAAGCAUAUUAUAUUUUUCAAAGAAAAGAAUAACAUUGUGAUUUUAUACUUUGCUAGGUAUAUAAGUUUGGUCUGAUAUUCAAUAGGGAUAGAAAGCUAGAUUGAUUUUCAUCCAACGGCGUCGUGAUCGGAGUAUUCGGUCAUCGUGGUGGUUGGGAAUGAUGAAGUUAGGUUCCUAAAUCCGAGAGGUGUGAUUUAGGGUUUUGAUGUGGAAAGGUUAUUCGGAUCGCAGUUUAGUGGUUACGAUUAAGAUUUCUAUGGCUUUAGGGUUUCUAAAUUGCGGAUUACGAUUCAAAAGAGUGGUCUAGGUUAGUUUUACCUUUUCCCACAGACGGCGCCAACUAUACUUGAAAAAAGCACAAUAAGGGAUAUUAGGGUUAAGUAUCGUAUUCUAGGGUUUAGAUUGAUAAUUGGAUGCCUUGAGAAUGAUCUCAAGAGUAGUAUUUAUAGCCUGCUAUGAGGUUGGGUUUCGGUUGCUUUGCUCUCAAGCAACAGGGGUAUUUUUGUAUUUUAGGCGGUUUCUGGAAGCUAAGGACCUCAAUAUCCCUUCUCGAGGGCGUCUGAGCCCUUCUAGAGGGCGUCUAAGCCCUUCUAGAGGGAUUCUAAGCCUUUAGGAAUAUUAUGACGGUUUACAACCAAUUAUUGAAUCCUUGUUUGCAAAGGACUUCCCAUUAAGCUGAAGUUUACUAAGCCUUAAGUUUGUCUGGAUAAAUAAUUCAAUAUGAAUAGUGAUUUUUAUGGCCAGCAACCCGUUAUCGGUCAAUGGCUUCUGACUCUGUCAACGUCAUUUGGUUUGGUUCUUAUCGGUCCAAGGAACCGCGACUCCAAAAAUGGCUUCUGGUUUUUCCCAUACACAUAAAUCAGCCUCUAUGAAUCAUCUUGAACAACUUCCAAACAUGAUAUUUCCUAUAAAUACUAACAUGCUAUCUCCUAAGACUGUUGAGCAUCCCAUGUCUAAGGCUUGAAUUAGUGUCCCUUCUUCCGGUAGGAUAUCACCAUGAAGUGUUGAACAAAUCUCCACAAUGAGCCGUCAAAUGUCUGUGCCUUUGCUCAGCCUGAGAAACAACAUCAACAACUUGGAGUAUUAAUUUUAGGGACUUUGGUUCCAACAUUUCUGCCUCAGUUGUUGAAUCCGCUACAAAUCCACGGUCUAUGUGGAAAUCUCUUAAUUGCAUGGCUGAUUGGUCGGUUAAUGGAGACGAAUAAGCCACGAAAUAUGCGCGAUGCAUCCACUUUUCAACAUUAAAUCAUUGCUAGGCAAGGCUGGGAAGGAAGAGAAGUAUCUUAUUGAGAUAGAUAUUUAAAUUUUUCAUCUACAUAUUCUUUUGGUAAAUUUUUUCGGAAGUAGACAACAAGGAAGAGAAGUAGUGAAGGAAGUAAUGCUGGCAAGGCUGGCUAUGAGUGCAUGAAGCAUAUUAUAUUUUUCAAAGAAAAGAAUAACAUUGUGAUUUUAUACUUUGCUAGGUAUAUAAGUUUGGUCUGAUAUUCAAUAGGGAUAGAAAGCUAGAUUGAUUUUCAUCCAACGGCGUCGUGAUCGGAGUAUUCGGUCAUCGUGGUGGUUGGGAAUGAUGAAGUUAGGUUCCUAAAUCCGAGAGGUGUGAUUUAGGGUUUUGAUGUGGAAAGGUUAUUCGGAUCGCAGUUUAGUGGUUACGAUUAAGAUUUCUAUGGCUUUAGGGUUUCUAAAUUGCGGAUUACGAUUCAAAAGAGUGGUCUAGGUUAGUUUUACCUUUUCCCACAGACGGCGCCAACUAUACUUGAAAAAAGCACAAUAAGGGAUAUUAGGGUUAAGUAUCGUAUUCUAGGGUUUAGAUUGAUAAUUGGAUGCCUUGAGAAUGAUCUCAAGAGUAGUAUUUAUAGCCUGCUAUGAGGUUGGGUUUCGGUUGCUUUGCUCUCAAGCAACAGGGGUAUUUUUGUAUUUUAGGCGGUUUCUGGAAGCUAAGGACCUCAAUAUCCCUUCUCGAGGGCGUCUGAGCCCUUCUAGAGGGCGUCUAAGCCCUUCUAGAGGGAUUCUAAGCCUUUAGGAAUAUUAUGACGGUUUACAACCAAUUAUUGAAUCCUUGUUUGCAAAGGACUUCCCAUUAAGCUGAAGUUUACUAAGCCUUAAGUUUGUCUGGAUAAAUAAUUCAAUAUGAAUAGUGAUUUUUAUGGCCAGCAACCCGUUAUCGGUCAAUGGCUUCUGACUCUGUCAACGUCAUUUGGUUUGGUUCUUAUCGGUCCAAGGAACCGCGACUCCAAAAAUGGCUUCUGGUUUUUCCCAUACACAUAAAUCAGCCUCUAUGAAUCAUCUUGAACAACUUCCAAACAUGAUAUUUCCUAUAAAUACUAACAUGCUAUCUCCUAAGACUGUUGAGCAUCCCAUGUCUAAGGCUUGAAUUAGUGUCCCUUCUUCCGGUAGGAUAUCACCAUGAAGUGUUGAACAAAUCUCCACAAUGAGCCGUCAAAUGUCUGUGCCUUUGCUCAGCCUGAGAAACAACAUCAACAACUUGGAGUAUUAAUUUUAGGGACUUUGGUUCCAACAUUUCUGCCUCAGUUGUUGAAUCCGCUACAAAUCCACGGUCUAUGUGGAAAUCUCUUAAUUGCAUGGCUGAUUGGUCGGUUAAUGGAGACGAAUAAGCCACGAAAUAUGCGCGAUGCAUCCACUUUUCAACAUUAAAUCAUUGCUAGGCAAGGCUGGGAAGGAAGAGAAGUAUCUUAUUGAGAUAGAUAUUUAAAUUUUUCAUCUACAUAUUCUUUUGGUAAAUUUUUUCGGAAGUAGACAACAAGGAAGAGAAGUAGUGAAGGAAGUAAUGCUGGCAAGGCUGGCUAUGAGUGCAUGAAGCAUAUUAUAUUUUUCAAAGAAAAGAAUAACAUUGUGAUUUUAUACUUUGCUAGGUAUAUAAGUUUGGUCUGAUAUUCAAUAGGGAUAGAAAGCUAGAUUGAUUUUCAUCCAACGGCGUCGUGAUCGGAGUAUUCGGUCAUCGUGGUGGUUGGGAAUGAUGAAGUUAGGUUCCUAAAUCCGAGAGGUGUGAUUUAGGGUUUUGAUGUGGAAAGGUUAUUCGGAUCGCAGUUUAGUGGUUACGAUUAAGAUUUCUAUGGCUUUAGGGUUUCUAAAUUGCGGAUUACGAUUCAAAAGAGUGGUCUAGGUUAGUUUUACCUUUUCCCACAGACGGCGCCAACUAUACUUGAAAAAAGCACAAUAAGGGAUAUUAGGGUUAAGUAUCGUAUUCUAGGGUUUAGAUUGAUAAUUGGAUGCCUUGAGAAUGAUCUCAAGAGUAGUAUUUAUAGCCUGCUAUGAGGUUGGGUUUCGGUUGCUUUGCUCUCAAGCAACAGGGGUAUUUUUGUAUUUUAGGCGGUUUCUGGAAGCUAAGGACCUCAAUAUCCCUUCUCGAGGGCGUCUGAGCCCUUCUAGAGGGCGUCUAAGCCCUUCUAGAGGGAUUCUAAGCCUUUAGGAAUAUUAUGACGGUUUACAACCAAUUAUUGAAUCCUUGUUUGCAAAGGACUUCCCAUUAAGCUGAAGUUUACUAAGCCUUAAGUUUGUCUGGAUAAAUAAUUCAAUAUGAAUAGUGAUUUUUAUGGCCAGCAACCCGUUAUCGGUCAAUGGCUUCUGACUCUGUCAACGUCAUUUGGUUUGGUUCUUAUCGGUCCAAGGAACCGCGACUCCAAAAAUGGCUUCUGGUUUUUCCCAUACACAUAAAUCAGCCUCUAUGAAUCAUCUUGAACAACUUCCAAACAUGAUAUUUCCUAUAAAUACUAANGUUUUAACUGUUGAUUUGAACAGAUUCGAACAACCUUGAACUAAAUAUUGAGAUUUUUUGUUUGAAAAAAAAAACUUGAGAUCGUCCGAUUUUAUCAAACCGUGACCGGUUCGGCGAUUUUCCCGGUUAUCAUCGGUUCUUCCAGUUUUCUAUCGGUUCUUAAGAACAAUGGUUUUGUACAUAGUUUUAAAACUCGGCUCGGUCAUCGAUUCGAUGACCCGGUCUUAU